CGGAGGGGCUAGCGUUGUUCGGAAUUACUGGGCGUAAAGCGCGCGUAGGCGGCUUAGCAAGUUAGAGGUGAAAGCCCGAAGCUCAACUUCGGAAUUGCCUUUAAAAACUGCAAGGCUAGAAUUGUGGAGAGGUGAGUGGAAUUCCGAGUGUAGAGGUGAAACUCGUAGAUAUUCGGAAGAACACCAGUGGCGAAGGCGACUCACUGGACACAUAUUGACGCUGAGGUGCGAAAGCGUGGGGAGCAAACAGGAUU
This 254-nucleotide ribosomal RNA is filed under the name uncultured bacterium. RNAcentral describes it as "partial 16S ribosomal RNA". It matches the Rfam family "Bacterial small subunit ribosomal RNA", at positions 527 to 779 of the family's 1533-position model. The record is from RNAcentral.